AAUAGAUACCCCGGUAGUCCUAGCUGUAAACGAUGAGCACUGGGUUGAGGGGACUUCCACAUCCUCUCGGCCGUAGCGAAAGCGUUAAGUGCUCCGCCUGGGGAGUAUGGCCGCAAGGCUGAAACUCAAAGGAAUUGACGGGGGCUCACACAAGCGGUGGAGGAUGUGGCUUAAUUCGAGGCUACGCGAAGAACCUUAUCCUAGAUUUGACAUGGUUGAGAAUCUCCUUGAAAGAGGAGAGUGCCCUUCGGGGAGCUCUUUCACAGGUGCUGCAUGGCUGUCGUCAGCUCGUGUCGUGAGAUGUUGGGUUAAGUCCCUUAACGAGCGAAACCCUUAUCUUUAGUUGCCAGCGGGUCAAGCCGGGGACUCUAAAGAGACUGCCGGUGUCAAACCGGAGGAAGGUGGGGAUGACGUCAAGUCCUCAUGGCCUUUAUGUCUAGGGCUGCACACGUCCUACAAUGGCACGUACAAAGGGAAGCCAAGCCGCGAGGCCGCGCUAAUCCCAAAAAGCGUGCCCCAGUUCGGAUUGCAGG
Molecule: ribosomal RNA, 533 nt
Filed under: uncultured bacterium
Lineage: Bacteria
Description: bacterial SSU rRNA
Rfam family: Bacterial small subunit ribosomal RNA
Source: RNAcentral